ACCCUUUAAUGUUUGAUGUUCUAACGUGGGCCCCUGAACGGGGUUGCGGACAGUGUCUGGUGGGUAGUUUGACUGGGGCGGUCUCCUCCCAAAGAGUAACGGAGGAGCACGAAGGUUAGCUAAUCCUGGUCGGACAUCAGGAGGUUAGUGCAAAGGCAUAAGCUAGCUUGACUGCGAGAGUGACGGCUCGAGCAGGUGCGAAAGCAGGUCUUAGUGAUCCGGUGGUUCUGAAUGGAAGGGCCAUCGCUCAACGGAUAAAAGGUACUCCGGGGAUAACAGGCUGAUACCGCCCAAGAGUUCAUAUCGACGGCGGUGUUUGGCACCUCGAUGUCGGCUCAUCACAUCCUGGGGCUGAAGUAGGUCCCAAGGGUACGGCUGUUCGCCGUUUAAAGUGGUACGCGAGCUGGGUUUAGAACGUCGUGAGACAGUUCGGUCCCUAUCUGCCGUGGGCGUUGGAAGAUUGAGGGGGGUUGCUCCUAGUACGAGAGGACCGGAGUGAACGCACCACUGGUGUUCGGGUUGUGAUGCCAAUUGCAUUGCCCGGUAGCUAAGUGCGGAAGAGAUAACCGCUGAAAGCAUCUAAGCGGGAAACUUGCCCCGAGAUGAGUCUUCCCUGGGACUUCGAGUCCCCUGAAGGGCCGUUGAAGACGACGACGUAGAUAGGCUGGGUGUGUAAGCGUAGCGAUACGUUGAGCUAACCAGUACUAAUGACCCGAGAGGCUUAACCUUACAACACCGAAGGUGUUUUAG
RNAcentral lists this ribosomal RNA (750 nucleotides) under Lonsdalea populi. RNAcentral describes it as "bacterial LSU rRNA". It matches the Rfam family "Bacterial large subunit ribosomal RNA", at positions 2202 to 2925 of the family's 2925-position model. The record is from RNAcentral. Lineage: Bacteria; Pseudomonadati; Pseudomonadota; Gammaproteobacteria; Enterobacterales; Pectobacteriaceae.